CCCUUAGAUGUCCUGGGCCGCACGCGCGCUACACUGAUGCAUGCAACGAGUUUAUAACCUUGGCCUGAAAGGUCUGGGUAAUCUUUUGAACGUGCAUCGUGAUAGGGAUAGAUUAUUGCAAUUGUUAAUCUUGAACGAGGAAUUCCUAGUAAACGCGAGUCAUCAGCUCGCAUUGAUUACGUCCCUGCCCUUUGUACACACCGCCCGUCGCACCUACCGAUUGAAUGGUUCGGUGAAGAUCUCGGACUUCGAUAUUUAUUCUUUAUUGAGUUUAUAUUGUGGGAAGUUAUCUAAACCUCAUCAUUUAGUGGAAGGUGAAGUCGUAACA
Molecule: ribosomal RNA, 328 nt
Filed under: uncultured eukaryote
Lineage: Eukaryota
Description: partial 18S ribosomal RNA
Rfam family: Eukaryotic small subunit ribosomal RNA
Source: RNAcentral